ACAGUUUCAUGUGCAAGUGCUGUACAGUGUACACAAAAGUUGUUGUGUGCUUACUUUGCUUAAAUAUAUUGGGUUAAUCUUUCUUAUGCUGGCCUGAAAUUUAAACACGUUCAUGAUUCGCUCCUUACGGUUUACCACACAUUUGUUCCGCACCACAUUCUUGGCUAAUUUUCAGCCACUAAAGCGUGUAAUGAAUACCGGACGUUUGACGUCAAGCAAUGAAAUGAGCGAUUUCAUUGUAAAAAAUAGUGCAACAGAACCACAUCUUACGAUGAGUUUCAUGUACAAACCUUCUGAUGCACGUAUGCAUCGUUUGUUUAAUUUGCAAAGACUGAAAUCCGAACCUCUGAAUCUAACACUUACCAGAAUAUCAAGUAAUAUUGGUAAAGUAAUUGAGAAAAUGCAAAAGAAAAAAAAGAAGACGGCUGGAAAAUCACAAGAAAAUAAUCAACUGAAAAGUGACUGUACUCCUGUUGAAGUUAAAGUGAAGCUAAUGAAAAGCGACUUGACUGAAGUCGAUGAAACUACAUUAAAUGUUGAGGCAUGGCAAGAUGAAUAUUUACUUGUGAUUGAAGACACCAGGUUCAUUGUAUCGGUCAAUCCACCUCAAGUGAAAAGCUUAAAAUUACCAACUACAAUAUUUUCCGGAUCUCUGUUAUAUCCGCGCAUUCACCUGGAAUUUUCAGAUAAAGAAAAUUCUGAGUGGUAUUGGUUUACCCAAGAUGGUGGAGAUGGGGCAGAAAAAUUUAUUCAAUCUCCCCAUACUAGUGGUGCACCUUCUGGAAGAUCCAGUAAUGUUGUGGACCUUUGUCAAAGUCUUGGGUUACUAGAAGUAGGAGUAACAUGGCAAUUAGUUGCAGAAGGGUGGUGUAUCACAUCUGCUGUAGACCUGGUCAGUUGCACCCUAGCUCUUGUUUGCAUUCCUGGAAACGGAGAAAAAAGAGGAAGGCCUGCUGUGGCAAAAGCUGGAAAAAUCACUGAAGGACCUGGACCUUGCCCAUUUGAGCUUCGCCAUCUUCAUACUAAGGAUAUCUCGAGUCAUGGUUGUUUCAGAGUGGCCUCCUACAAUAUUCUCGCAGAUCUUUAUGCCGAUUCUGAUUUUUCAAGAGAACAUCUCUUUCCUCACUGCCCUGCAUCUGCUUUGCAUAUUGACUAUAGAAAGCAACUGUUUGUGAGAGAAAUUGUUGGGUACAAUGCUGAUAUCAUAUGUCUACAGGAAGUUGAUAAGAAGAUAUAUGAGCAUGAUCUUUCACCUCUGCUUGGACUCAUGCAUCUAGAUAGCAUCUACUGCAAGAAGGGAGCAGAUGGCAUGGAAGGCGAAGCUACUUUCUUCAGGCAGUCAAAGUUCAAACUGAUUGACCAAGGAUGUAUUGUGAUGUCAGAGCAAAUUGUUCAGUCUCAGCACCAUCUCAUUUUAGAUGCAUUGUCCCUAAAUACAGAGCUAAGAGAUAAAUUUCGUCAAUUACCAACAGUUUUGCAGUAUGUUGUGCUAGAGUCUAGAGAGACUGAAGGCCUCGGAGUAGUGGUUGGUAACACACAUCUUUACUUCCAUCCAAAUGCCGGACUUAUUCGUCAAAUCCAAAUGCUGGUGGCAUUGCAUCAUCUAGAGAGUGUGGUGAAAUUGCAAGAAGCACAGGUGAAAAUGAACAAAGAGUGGAUGGAAUUGAUUUUAAGCAACCGUUUAAGCUAGCCAGUGCGUGUGGGUUUCCGGAAUACACAAAUCAUGUUGGUGGGUUUUCUGAAACCUUGGACUACAUCUUUAUUGAUAAAGACAAACUGGUAGUGGACAGGGUUAUUCCAAUGCCUAGUCAUGAGGAAGUGAUUCUACACAAAGGGCUGCCUAGUGUUGUAUUUCCCAGUGAUCACAUUGCACUAGUCUGCGAUUUAACAUGGAAGGAGUUCUCUAAACAGUGAUCACUCAACAAAUCUGUGAUGUUUAGGUAAAAUUACUUGUGAAUGAGACCAGCCAACAUGCAUAGUAAUAUAAGAUGCCAGCAAAUGUUAAUGGUUUAUCGCCGCUAAAUUAUCUUGAUUUUUACAACAUUUUACAACAUAGAUUUGUUAUAAAAAAGCUAUGACAAUGUUAUAUAAAACAGGGUCUGUGGCUAGCAGCAUGUAAUACAGAUUGUUACUAAUCUUACGCAGGCUGAUAUGCAGAUUGUUGUAGUCAGAUCAACUAGUAUCACGGCAAGAGCAUAUAUCCAUCAACAAUAACAGCAGAAAGUUGAACAGCGACCCCACAGUAUUCAUGUUCGGCACAAGAAAGUUGUGCGUGUAUGUGCGUGUGUGGUGGUGGGGGGGGGGGGUAUCUGAAAUGCCAGUGUCGGACCAGAAAUGGAAGUCAAGAGUCAAAGUUCAAGGUUAAAUAGGAAAAGGGAAAUGUCUUAUUCACCCAUCAUCUUAAGUUGGACCAUCAUCUGUGGUUCUGCUCUUCGUGGUUCUUACUGCCUAGCGUUGAUCUAAGCUCAUUGCACAGGUUAAAAAAAUUGCAACUUUUAAAACAUAAAUGCAGCUUGACGUAAACUUUUCACAUUUAGGAUAUGGUCGUGGUGGGCAGCACUUUUCAUGUUAAAUAUUAUGCCAAAUGUGAAAAGCCAGCAGCUGAAAGCUAACGUUGUAGAUAUUUUCAUGAACGUGGGUUGACAGACCAAAUAAAAAGCUUUUUACAACACUGA
RNAcentral lists this unclassified non-coding RNA (2675 nucleotides) under Priapulus caudatus. RNAcentral's name for it is "2',5'-phosphodiesterase 12-like, transcript variant X1". The record is from RNAcentral. Lineage: Eukaryota; Metazoa; Priapulida; Priapulimorpha; Priapulimorphida; Priapulidae.